This is a long non-coding RNA of Aegilops tauschii subsp. strangulata, 1458 nucleotides long. RefSeq lists it as uncharacterized. Lineage: Eukaryota; Viridiplantae; Streptophyta; Magnoliopsida; Poales; Poaceae. The record is from RefSeq and is a predicted model, not a curated record.
ACAUGGGCAGAUAUGGUCCUUUUAUAGUAGCAAAUUGCUUUGCCAUUGAGAUUGAGAUUGAAUAUUUGUGCAGUGUGACUGAACAUUGAGAUUGUUUUCUGUUUCUUUCGAUGAUUUGUGUGGUUCAGUUUCUGAAGUAAACUGGAGAUGUUCGAAAUUUGAUGGUUGCUGUCCAUAUAUCUCCACUUAUGAACAUAUCUGUCCAAAUUUGAUGGUUUCUGAAGUAAACUGUAUAUAUAUCUCCACUUAUGAACAUAUCUGUCCAAAUUUGAUGGUUUCUGAACAUGUGCCUUAACACCUUUUCUGUCAUUUGGUGUCCAUGGAUUGAAAUGUUGGCUGUUAUAUAUUGAUUGUAGUAUAUUUGUGCAUGUUAAUUCAGUGUUUGUAUUGAUUUGAUGCCAAUGUUCAGAAACAAUAUUUUGAUGUUGCUGUUGUUAUUCUUGUUGUGGUUACCUGAAAUGUUGAUACUCUACUUUUUUGAAGCGCUUGUUUCCUAUUUAUGUCCAGUCCUGUUUAUGGUAACUUGUUGUUUAAUUUACAAUGCUGCUUUUCAGAGAAGUGAGAUGGCUAGCUUGGAAGGUUUCAAGUUCUUCGAGAUCGUAAUUGAGAAAUCUUGCAGUAGGCAGAGGCUGCCUGACAAGUUUGCAAAGAUGCUCGCCGGCCGUGAGCCUGCCGGCAGCGGGCUUCGCAGGCUGUGGGACGUGUUGGUGGUGUUCGAUGGUGAAGGCCACAUGUACCCAGGGCCCGGCUGGGAGUAGUUCGCCCGCGCCCAUGAGCUACAGCUCGGGCACUUCCUUGUCUUCCGCUACGACGGCGACGCCAUGUGCACCGUGAAGAUGUUUGACAACACCAUGUGCCGCAUGUACUACCAGCACGACGACGAUGCCAGCAAUGGGAGCAGCAGCGAGGAUGACGACGAGCAGAGCGGGGAUGACGAGGAGUAGAGCGGGGAUGCCGAGGAGCAGCCUAUUCUGGCUAACGACGACCCUGCUAUGGUGGUGGCGGAUGACGACCUUGCUAUGGUGGUGGCUGACGAGGACCCUGCUAUGGUGGUGGCGGACGACGACCCUGCUAUGGUGGUGGCUGACGACGACCUCGCGAUUGUGGUGCCUAAUGAUGACCUCGCAAUGGUGGUGCCUGACAAUGACCUCGUGAUGGUGGUGGCGCCUGCAAUCCCACAGCUUGGCGACAGGACCAUGCCAAUUGUGGUAGAGGAGUACAUCCGCGUUGGGAUUCACCACUCUGAGCGCAUCAGGUUGAUGAAGGAGAAGAAGGAGGAGUGAAGAUGUUAAGAAAUGAAGUGGCAAUGUUAAGCAUGUUAGGUUUAAGCUUCUUAGUGUAAUCUGAACAUGUCAAUGUUAAGUAUGUCAGGUUUAAUUUUGUGCAUGCUCAUGGAUGCUGUAUGACAGUGCCAUCUAAACAUGUCAAUUUCUUAAUUAUGAAUAUUCAGUUUGGUAA